This 228-nucleotide long non-coding RNA is filed under the name Cyanistes caeruleus (blue tit). RNAcentral describes it as "lncRNA (ENSCCEG00000018263.1)". Lineage: Eukaryota; Metazoa; Chordata; Aves; Passeriformes; Paridae. The record is from RNAcentral.
GAGCAUAUGUUGUCUUUGAAGCCUGAGUCCAUACUUUGGUACGAGUUGGGGUGGUCCCCACUUUGCUUCCUUCCACAAUGUUGAGAAAAAUUUGGGGAUCACAAACCAGUAUGCGUCUGGAAAAGCAGAGUUGCUGCGAAAAACCAAAGCAAAAAAAACAAGAUAGACUAGACAAGAUGUUGGAAUUUGCAUUGCAGGUCUUGAGGCAUACCUUAUUAUGUUUUCCUG